RNAcentral lists this ribosomal RNA (600 nucleotides) under Dictyota cf. pfaffii. Its description in RNAcentral is "partial 26S large subunit ribosomal RNA". It matches the Rfam family "Eukaryotic large subunit ribosomal RNA", at positions 42 to 653 of the family's 3401-position model. Lineage: Eukaryota; Phaeophyceae; Dictyotales; Dictyotaceae. The record is from RNAcentral.
AUAACUAAGCGGAGGAAAAGAAACUAACAAGGAUUCCCCCAGUAACGGCGAGUGAAGCGGGAAGAGCUCACGUUGUGAAUCUGGCCCUCGGGCCCGAACUGUACUCUGGAGAGGCGAGGCCAGCCGCUGUCCGCGGCCAAGUCUGAUUGGAAAUGAGCAUCAAGGAGGGUGACAAUCCCGUCCAUGCCGCGGUAUCGACCAGCGCGCGUCCGGCCCGCUUUCGACGAGUCGAGUUGCUUGGGAUUGCAGCUCAAAGAGGGUGGUAAACUCCAUCCAAAGCUAAACACGGGGGGGAGACCGAUAGCGAACAAGUACCGUGAGGGAAAGAUGCAAAGAACUUUGAAAAGAGAGUUAAAGAGUGCCUGAAAUUGCUGGAAGGGAAGCGAAGGAAAGAGGUGUGCGGUUGCCCGGGCGCCAACCCCUACCUGUCCGCAGGUGGGGGUAGGCCGCCCGGCCGCGGUCAGGGGUAGCGCUGGGCUCGGGGGAAGAGCCAUCGGGGAUCGGUAGGCGUGCCGCUUCGGCGGAGCGUUGUCAGGCCCCGUUGGUUGUUGCCCUGAGCCCGGCCCCCGUCUGGCGGUCGCGGCUUUUCUUCACCCCGUC